RNAcentral lists this long non-coding RNA (674 nucleotides) under Brassica napus (rape). RNAcentral describes it as "long non-coding RNA (BNAP_LNC022348)". Lineage: Eukaryota; Viridiplantae; Streptophyta; Magnoliopsida; Brassicales; Brassicaceae. The record is from RNAcentral.
AAUGAAAACUUUCCAAAAAUAGCAGGUUUUAAGAAAAUUAUUUAAAAAUACAACAUAUUGAUGAAAAAAUCUUAAAGAAUACUCAUCUAUCCACAAAUAUUUUUGUUAUCCUAAUUUAUAAAUCACAAACCCAAAUCUACAAUAUUUCUCAAGAAAAUGAAAACUUUCCAAAAAUGACAGUUUUUAAGAAAAUUAUUUAAAAAUACAAAAUAUUGAUGAAAAAUUCUUAAAGAAUACUCAUCUAUUCACAAAUAUUCUUGUUAUCCUAAUUUAUAAAUCACAAUCUCAAAUCUACAAUAUUUCUCAAGAAAAUGAAAACUUUCCAAAAAUAACAAUUUUUAAGAAAAUUAUUUAACAAUACAACAUAUUGAUGAAAAAUUCUUAAAGAAUACUCAUCUAUCCACAAGUAUUCUUGUUAUCCUAAUUUAUAAAUUAUAAACCCAAAUCUACAAUAUUUCUCACAAAAAUGAAAACUUCCAAAAAAUAGCACUUUUUGAGAAAGUUAUUUAAAAAUACAACAUAUUGAUGAAAAAAUCGUAAAUAAUACUCAUCUAUCCACAAAUAAUCUUGUUAUCCUAAUUUAUAUAUCACAAUCCCAAAUCUACAAUAUUUCUCAAGAAAAUGAAAACUUUCCAAAAAUAGCAAUUUCUAAGAAAAUUAUUUAAAAAUACAAC